AGCGAACGCUGGCGGCAGGCCUAACACAUGCAAGUCGAACGAACUCUUCGGAGUUGGUGGCGGACGGGUGAGUAACACGUGGGAACGUGCCUUUUGGUUCGGAAUAACUCAGGGAAACUUGUGCUAAUACCGAAUGUGCCCUUCGGGGGAAAGAUUUAUCGCCAUUAGAGCGGCCCGCGUCUGAUUAGCUAGUUGGUGAGGUAACGGCUCACCAAGGCGACGAUCAGUAGCUGGUCUGAGAGGAUGACCAGCCACACUGGGACUGAGACACGGCCCAGACUCCUACGGGAGGCAGCAAUGGGGAAUCUUGCGCAAUGGGCGAAAGCCUGACGCAGCCAUGCCGCGUGAAUGAUGAAGGUCUUAGGAUUGUAAAAUUCUUUCACCGGGGACGAUAAUGACGGUACCCGGAGAAGAAGCCCCGGCUAACUUCGUG
RNAcentral lists this ribosomal RNA (433 nucleotides) under uncultured bacterium. Its description in RNAcentral is "partial 16S ribosomal RNA". It matches the Rfam family "Bacterial small subunit ribosomal RNA", at positions 29 to 507 of the family's 1533-position model. The record is from RNAcentral.